RNAcentral lists this unclassified non-coding RNA (732 nucleotides) under Bradyrhizobium sp. 220h/Worou2S2/INERA2/LCM3791/STM10202. RNAcentral's name for it is "partial 16S-23S ribosomal RNA intergenic space". The stretch from base 613 to 732 matches the Rfam family "Bacterial large subunit ribosomal RNA", at positions 1 to 119 of the family's 2925-position model. The record is from RNAcentral. Lineage: Bacteria; Pseudomonadati; Pseudomonadota; Alphaproteobacteria; Hyphomicrobiales; Nitrobacteraceae. RNAcentral also lists the same sequence under 2 other names.
GUCGGAGUUCAGUCUUCCCAGGCCCACCACGCUUCGCCGUCGGCUUCGCAUGGCACCGCCAGGCAGAACGACGAGGCGAAGCGCGUCCGGCAUAGCCCGAAGGGCGACGCCGGACAGAAAGAGCGCUUCGUCUUCUGGUUACGGGGCCAUAGCUCAGCUGGGAGAGCGCGUGCUUUGCAAGCAUGAGGUCGUCGGUUCGAUCCCGUCUGGCUCCACCAGAUGGUUUGAUCACCGAGAUCUUGACCGUCGUCCGCGAAACAUCACUUCGCAUCCUGCUAGUCUGGAUAGACAGCAAGUUGCGUGUUUUCUGACAUCGUAAAGAGGAGAUCGAUCCGAGUUGGAUCGUGCAACAUAUCGUUGCGCGAGCCUUCAUUAUCUCCGGAUCAUUUCGGCGCUCGCUUCCAGCCGUGAGGUUGGAUGCGGGUUGUAAAUGAUCCUUUUAGCGAAGCUUGACCGCCUCGCUAUCGGAACGAUCUUACGAAGCAAGCUGGUCUUUCUAGUCAAUGUCCGGCUGUACGUAGCAUUCAUCGAGGGUGCGCGCCCGAGAUUUCGGUCUCUUGGCAAUCGUACAGACAACAUUCUGCCGAGUGUGUGGACAUUGAUAAUGAGAGCAAUCAAGUGCCUUAAGGGUGUUCGGUGGAUGCCUUGGCGCUGAGAGGCGAUGAAGGACGUGCUACGCUGCGAUAAGCCGUGGGGAGCUGCGAAGAAGCUUUGAUCCGCGGAUUUCCGAUG